RNAcentral lists this ribosomal RNA (497 nucleotides) under uncultured bacterium. Its description in RNAcentral is "partial 16S ribosomal RNA". It matches the Rfam family "Bacterial small subunit ribosomal RNA", at positions 28 to 507 of the family's 1533-position model. The record is from RNAcentral.
GAUGAACGCUGGCGGCGUGCCUAAUACAUGCCAGUCGAGCGAACGGACGAGAAGCUUGCUGCUCUGAUGUUAGCCGCGGACGGGAGAGUAACACGUGGAAAACCUACCUAUAAGACUGGGAUCACCUCGGGAAACCGGAGCUAAUACCGGAUAAUCUUUUGAACCGCAUGGGGCAAAAGAGAAAGACGGUCGUGCUGUCACUUAUCGAUGCAUCCGCGCUGCAUUAGCUAGUUGGUAAGGUAACGGCUUACCAAGGCGACGAUGCAUAACCGAACUGUCAGGGUGAUCGGCCACACUGGAACUGAGACACGGUCCAGAGUCCUAAGGGAGGCAGCAGUAGGGAAUCUUCCGCAAUGGGCGAAAACCUGACGGAGCAACGCCGCGUGAGGGAUGAAGGUCUUCGGAUCGUAAAACUCUGUUAUUAGGGAAGAACAGAUGUGUAAGUAAAUGUGCACAGCUUGACGGUACCUAGUCAGAAAGCCACGGCUAACUACGUG